Molecule: non-coding RNA, 566 nt
Organism: Odocoileus virginianus texanus
Lineage: Eukaryota; Metazoa; Chordata; Mammalia; Artiodactyla; Cervidae
Source: the annotation of a RefSeq genome assembly
GACACAAGAAUUCAGUUCUCCAGUGAGUCUAAAGGACAGAAGGAAUGGACAGAUUCCUGAGCCUGCUCAUCCUUUGGGUACAACUAAACUGGGUGAGCAGUAAGCAGGACGUGAGUCAGAGUCCUGAAGCUCUGAGCGUGAGAGAGGGAGACAGCGUGGAUCUCAACUGCAGUUACACCGACAGCGCUCUGUACUUCCUGCAGUGGUUUAGGCAGGAUCCCAGGAAAGGGCUCACAUCCCUACCGUCAAUUCAGGCGAAUCAGAAAGAGCAAACAAGUGGAAGAAUUACAGUCUCGUUGGAUAAAUCACCAAGACACAGUGCUUUACACACUGCGACUUCUCAGCACAGUGACUGGACCACUUACCUCUGUGCUGUGAGCCACAGCGCAGAGGGAACCUGUCCCAGGACUCAAACUGCAGGUGGGGNCUACUGUCAAUUCAGGCGAAUCAGAAAGAGCAAACAAGUGGAAGAAUUACAGUCUCGUUGGAUAAACCAUCAAGACACAAUGCUUUACACACUGCGACUUCUCAGCACAGUGACUCGACCACCUACCUCUGUGCUGUGA